AGGAAUAUGGUGUAAUGGUAGCACGAUUGACUUUGACUCAAUUAGUCUAUGUUCAAAUCAUAGUAUUCCUGCCA
RNAcentral lists this transfer RNA (74 nucleotides) under Caudoviricetes sp. Its description in RNAcentral is "tRNA-Gln". It matches the Rfam family "tRNA". Rfam says of the family: Transfer RNA (tRNA) molecules are approximately 80 nucleotides in length. Their secondary structure includes four short double-helical elements and three loops (D, anti-codon, and T loops). Lineage: Duplodnaviria; Heunggongvirae; Uroviricota; Caudoviricetes. The record is from RNAcentral.